UUAGUAUAACUAGUACGAUUGACUUCCAAUCAGUUAGCUCCAGAUCAACC
This 50-nucleotide transfer RNA is filed under the name Canis sp. Belgium/36,000. RNAcentral's name for it is "tRNA-Gly". Lineage: Eukaryota; Metazoa; Chordata; Mammalia; Carnivora; Canidae. The record is from RNAcentral.